This 2163-nucleotide long non-coding RNA is filed under the name Sus scrofa (pig). RNAcentral describes it as "lncRNA (ENSSSCG00005020270.1)". Lineage: Eukaryota; Metazoa; Chordata; Mammalia; Artiodactyla; Suidae. The record is from RNAcentral.
UUUGUGUCUUUCGGCUUUUCAGGGUUUGGAUUUUUUCCCCUGAAUCUUUAUUGUAAAAAUAUUCAAACAUGAAACAAUAGUAACCAUGAACACACAUAUACUCCGCAUGUAAAUGUAGUAGAUAAAAUUUUUCUUUCUUCACAUUUUUCUCUUUUAUGUGUAUGUGUGUGAGUGUUAAUACGUAGACAUUCUCACUCCCCAGUUUAACAGCUGGACCAGUUGAAAAUUGUAGGCAUCAUAAUACUUUAUUCCUCAGAAUUUCAGCUUGCCUUUCCUUUAUGAAGGACUAUUUUCCUGUGUCAUUACAAUACCGUUAUCAUACCUAAGAAAAAUUUAAAGUAAUUUCUUAAUGACAUCUAUUAUGUAGUCUUACUCAGAUUUAUCUAGUUGCCCCAAAAAUGUCUUUCAUAACUUUUUUCCAUAGCAGGUUCCAAUCAAAGCUCAUGUUUUGUCUCAUUUAGUGUAGACCAGUGGUUCUCAACUCAGAACAGUUUUGCCCUACAGGGGAUAUUUGGCAAUGUCUGAUGAUUUAACUUUUUCCUUCUUCCUUCAUUCUUUGUAACUUCAUCUUUGGAGUUCUCUUGCAGCUCAGCCGGUUAAGGAUCCAGCAUUUUCACUGCUGUGGUAUGGUUUCAUUCCCUGGCCUGGGAACUUCCACAUGCCAUGGAUAGGGCUCCCCCCCGCAAAAAAAAAGCUCACUUCAUCUUUGUUUUGUAUACUUCAUAUUGCAGAACUUCGAGAGGCUAAGUUUGGUCACUUGGUUAAGGUAAUGUAUCUACAGUGUAAUUUUCUUUAGCAGUUCCCAGUAUUGGGGGUGAUCCUCUGACACCUUGCUCAUCCAGUUACCUAUGAUGCUUAGUAUAUCUGUUGAUAAUCCUUACCCAAAUUAGUUAUGGGUUUGUUCUUUUUAACAUGUCAUUCUUUUCUUCUUCUUUUUUUCUUUUUUUUUUAUGUUUUUAAAUUUUUUUUUUUUUUCUUUUUUGGGCCAUACUCUCGGCGUAUGGAGGCUCCUGGGCUCGGGGUCCAAUCUGAGCUACGGCUGCCGGUCUACGGCACAGCCAGAGCAACUCGGGAUCCGAGCUGUGUCUGGGACCUACAGCACACAGCUCACGGCAACACCGGAUCCUUAACCCACUGAAUGAAGCCAGGGAUCGAACCUGCAUCCUCCUGGAUCCUAGUGGGGUUUGUUAACCACUGAGCUACAAAGGGAACUCCCUCUUCUCUUCUUUUAUUACCAGCAUUCUUCUGUAAAGAGCCUUUCUUCUCUCAUUUUUCCCUUUUAAUAUUAGUUGGGAUUUAUGAAUUUUUAUUUAAUAUUUUAAAGUCCACUUCAGUCAUUAUUUUUGCAGUUCUAAAGUUGAUGCAGGUGUCUCCUUCAAACUGUCUCCUUUGUGCCUUUGAAGUCGUCUCAUUAUCAUUAGUGUUUUGAGUACUUUCUUGCUUUCUUGGCACAAUCAGAUGUCUCAGUCUUGCUCUCAAUUUCCCAGCUCUGGUUGUAGCCGUUUCACCAAAUAGCCCUAGGACUUUUUAAUGGAGCAAAAUGUUUAAAACUAAGAUCUGGGGUGGGAGGUGUUCUAGCGGCCCACUCGAUUAAGAAUCCGACAUUGUCACUGUAGCGGCUCUGGUUACUACUGUGGUGUGGUUCACUCCCUGGCCAGGAAACUUCUGUAUGCCAAGGGCAUGGCCAAAAACAAAAACAAAAACAAAAAACCAUCACUAAACAGCUAAGAUCUGGGAGGUAGGUAUGCUCAUUGCUACUGGGUUAUCAUUGUUUCUAAGACGUUUUAGUCAGCAGAGCUAUAAAAUACUUUUUAUCUUUAAAUCAUUUGUUCCUAUUGAUACCCAAUUCAGAAUUAACCUAAGUUUUUUCGUGUCUUUAAUUUUAUAUAUUUUAUAUUUGUUUCUUUUUCUCUUUUAUAAAAAAAUGUGGUUUCAGAGUUCCCGUCAUGGCACAGCAGAAAUGAAUCCGACUAGGAAUUGUAAGGCUUCAGGUUCGAUACCUGGCCUUCCUCAGUGGGUUAAGGAUCUGGCAUUGCUGUGAGCUGUGGCAUAGGUCUAAGAUGCGGCUUGGAUCCUUUGUUGCUGUGGCUGUGGUGUAGGCCGGCAGGUGUAGCUCUGAUUGGAGCCCUAACCUGGGAACCUCCAUAUGCCAUGGGUGCAGCU